RNAcentral lists this ribosomal RNA (568 nucleotides) under uncultured Caldimonas sp. RNAcentral's name for it is "bacterial SSU rRNA". It matches the Rfam family "Bacterial small subunit ribosomal RNA", at positions 628 to 1204 of the family's 1533-position model. Lineage: Bacteria; Pseudomonadati; Pseudomonadota; Betaproteobacteria; Burkholderiales; Sphaerotilaceae. The record is from RNAcentral.
UGUGACUGCACGGCUAGAGUGCGGCAGAGGGGAGUGGAAUUCCGCGUGUAGCAGUGAAAUGCGUAGAUAUGCGGAGGAACACCGAUGGCGAAGGCAGCUCCCUGUGCACUGACGCUCAUGCACGAAAGCGUGGGGAGCAAACAGGAUUAGAUACCCUGGUAGUCCACGCCCUAAACGAUGUCGACUAGUUGUUGGACGGUUCGCUGUUCAGUAACGUUAGCUAACGCGUGAAGUCGACCGCCUGGGGAGUACGGCCGCAAGGGGGAAACUCAAAGGAAUUGACGGGGACCCGCACAAGCGGUGGAUGAUGUGGUUUAAUUCGAUGCAACGCGAAAAACCUUACCUACCCUUGACAUGCCAGGAAUCCUGCAGAGAUGUGGGAGUGCUCGAAAGAGAACCUGGACACAGGUGCUGCAUGGCCGUCGUCAGCUCGUGUCGUGAGAUGUUGGGUUAAGUCCCGCAACGAGCGCAAGGCUUGCCAUUAGUUGCUAGGAAAGGGCACUCUAAUGGGACUGCCGGUGAGUAACCGGAGGAAGGUGGGGAUGACGUCAGGUCCUCAUGGCCCCAA